RNAcentral lists this transfer RNA (76 nucleotides) under Pseudomonadota bacterium. Its description in RNAcentral is "tRNA-Lys". It matches the Rfam family "tRNA". Rfam says of the family: Transfer RNA (tRNA) molecules are approximately 80 nucleotides in length. Their secondary structure includes four short double-helical elements and three loops (D, anti-codon, and T loops). Further hydrogen bonds mediate the characteristic L-shaped molecular structure. tRNAs have two regions of fundamental functional importance: the anti-codon, which is responsible for specific mRNA codon recognition, and the 3' end, to which the tRNAs corresponding amino acid is attached (by aminoacyl-tRNA synthetases). tRNAs cope with the degeneracy of the genetic code in two manners: having more than one tRNA (with a specific anti-codon) for a particular amino acid; and 'wobble' base-pairing, i.e. permitting non-standard base-pairing at the 3rd anti-codon position. The record is from RNAcentral. Lineage: Bacteria; Pseudomonadati; Pseudomonadota. RNAcentral also lists the same sequence under 4 other names.
GGGCCGUUAGCUCAGUGGGUAGAGCGCCGGGCUUUUAACCCGGGCGUCGGGGGUUCGAGUCCCUCACGGCCCACCA